Molecule: ribosomal RNA, 253 nt
Filed under: uncultured bacterium
Lineage: Bacteria
Description: partial 16S ribosomal RNA
Rfam family: Bacterial small subunit ribosomal RNA
Source: RNAcentral
UACGGAGGAUGCGAGCGUUAUCCGGAUUUAUUGGGUUUAAAGGGUGCGCAGGCGGAAAGUGCAAGUCAGCGGUCAAACGACGGGGCUCAACCCCGUCUCGCCGUUGAAACUGGCGGACUUGAGUGGGCGAGAAGUGUGCGGAAUGCGUGGUGUAGCGGUGAAAUGCAUAGAUAUCACGCAGAACCCCGAUUGCGAAGGCAGCAUACCGGCGCUCAACUGACGCUCAUGCACGAAAGCGUGGGUAUCGAACAGG